This 344-nucleotide unclassified non-coding RNA is filed under the name soil metagenome. RNAcentral's name for it is "partial contains 5.8S ribosomal RNA, internal transcribed spacer 2, and large subunit ribosomal RNA". The stretch from base 1 to 120 matches the Rfam family "5.8S ribosomal RNA", at positions 35 to 154 of the family's 154-position model. The record is from RNAcentral.
GAUGAAGAACGUAGCGAAAUGCGAUAAGUAAUGUGAAUUGCAGAAUUCAGUGAAUCAUCGAAUCUUUGAACGCACAUUGCGCCCGCCAGUAUUCUGGCGGGCAUGCCUGUCUGAGCGUCAUUUCAACCCUCAUGCCCCUAGGGCGUGGUGUUGGGGAUCGGCCAAAGCCCGCGAGGGACGGCCGGCCCCUAAAUCUAGUGGCGGACCCGUCGUGGCCUCCUCUGCGAAGUAGUGAUAUUCCGCAUCGGAGAGCGACGAGCCCCUGCCGUUAAACCCCCAACUUUCCAAGGUUGACCUCAGAUCAGGUAGGAAUACCCGCUGAACUUAAGCAUAUCAGCGGAGGA